Molecule: ribosomal RNA, 174 nt
Filed under: Bacillus sp. M1p
Lineage: Bacteria; Bacillati; Bacillota; Bacilli; Caryophanales; Bacillaceae
Description: partial 16S ribosomal RNA
Rfam family: Bacterial small subunit ribosomal RNA
Source: RNAcentral
ACUACGGGGGGCACACACUAGGGAAUCUUCCGCAAUGGACGAAAGUCUGCCGGAGCAACGCCGCGUGAGUGAUGAAGGCUUUCGGGUCGUAAAACUCUGUUGUUAGGGAAGAACAAGUGCUAGUUGAAUAAGCUGGCACCUUGACGGUACCUAACCCAGAAACCCACGCUAUAC